Molecule: ribosomal RNA, 459 nt
Filed under: uncultured bacterium
Lineage: Bacteria
Description: partial 16S ribosomal RNA
Rfam family: Bacterial small subunit ribosomal RNA
Source: RNAcentral
CCUACGGGAGGCUGCAGUGAGGAAUAUUGGUCAAUGGGCGCGAGCCUGAACCAGCCAAGUAGCGUGAAGGAUGACGGCCCUACGGGUUGUAAACCUCUUUUGUCGGGGAGCAAAGAGAGUCACGUGUGGCUCAUUGAGAGUACCCGAAGAAAAAGCAUCGGCCAACUCCGUGCCAGCAGCCGCGGUAAUACGGAGGAUGCGAGCGUUAUCCGGAUUUAUUGGGUUUAAAGGGUGCGCAGGCGGAGGUGCAAGUCAGUGGUCAAAUUGCGGGGCUCAACCCCGUACUGCCGUUGAAACUGCAUCCCUAGAGUGCGCGAGAAGUAUGCGGAAUGCGUGGUGUAGCGGUGAAAUGCAUAGAUAUCACGCAGAACUCCGAUUGCGAAGGCAGCAUACCGGCGCGCAACUGACGCUCAUGCACGAAAUCGUGGGUAUCGAACAGGAUUAGAUACCCUAGUAGUC